Bos taurus (domestic cattle) is the source of this 73-nucleotide non-coding RNA. The record is from Rfam. NCBI's taxonomy places the organism in Eukaryota, Metazoa, Chordata, Mammalia, Artiodactyla, Bovidae.
UCCCUGGUGGUCCAGUGGUUAGGACUUUGUGCUUUCAACACCGAGGCCCUGGGUUCAAUUCCUAGUCCGGGAA